UCUUCAUAGCUCAGUUGGUUAGAGCAUGGUGCUGAUAACGCCAGGGUUGCAGGUUUGAUCCCCAUAUGGGACAG
RNAcentral lists this transfer RNA (74 nucleotides) under Podarcis lilfordi (Lilford's wall lizard). RNAcentral's name for it is "tRNA.Ile". The record is from RNAcentral. Lineage: Eukaryota; Metazoa; Chordata; Lepidosauria; Squamata; Lacertidae.